GGAAACAUUGAUAGGAGUAGGGCCUUUCUAGAGAGAGAGCGCAAACAAUGCUCGUGACAAUCAAUUAUUUACUCUGAGACUGAGCCCCUCCCACUUCCCAUGAAGCCACCCCUUUCUUGAACAUUACUGUGAACAUUAGGAUAGUUGAAGCAGGUUAAGCAUUUGUCAUAUGCUUGCUUAGCUCCAGUACGGUUUUAGUUUUAGCAAAUAUAAGAUACAACUGGUAUUAUAUCUUUAAAGGUUCCAUAAAACUAUAAUUUUGAAGUAUACACUGACCAUAUAGGAAAAACAAAAACCCUCUCUUUCAGUUAAAACUUUCAGGUUACCGGUUAUUAUGUUGGUUUUUCUAGGCUGAAAUCCUGACCGUGACUUUAAACGUCUUCUCAAUUGUGAUAACAGGUUAUAGCUCUAGAGACUGGGAGCAUGGCAACUCACCUAGCCAAACACAUAUACAUCAGAAAAACCUUUGUUUUUGUUUUCGUCCCCAGGCUCCCAUCUACCAAAAUGCAACUACAUCCUACUUCAAAGAUCACCCUUUGCAGAGAUUUGAAGAUUUUUGUCUUGGUGGCUGGAAAACCUUCCCAGGAAAUUUCCAGGGCUGCGGUACAGUGAUGAACCACUAAGGGCUUUCCCAAGGAGACUUCCAUGCUUGACUGGCAGUAGGCCUUCAUCUACCUGCUAUUCCAUGGACAUCAGCAGAAAACCAGGGCUCAAUGGUG
This 719-nucleotide long non-coding RNA is filed under the name Mus spicilegus (steppe mouse). Its description in RNAcentral is "lncRNA (ENSMSIG00000030558.1)". Lineage: Eukaryota; Metazoa; Chordata; Mammalia; Rodentia; Muridae. The record is from RNAcentral.